UACGAAGGGGGCUAGCGUUGCUCGGAAUCACUGGGCGUAAAGGGUGCGUAGGCGGGUCUUUAAGUCAGGGGUGAAAUCCUGGAGCUCAACUCCAGAACUGCCUUUGAUACUGAAGAUCUUGAGUUCGGGAGAGGUGAGUGGAACUGCGAGUGUAGAGGUGAAAUUCGUAGAUAUUCGCAAGAACACCAGUGGCGAAGGCGGCUCACUGGACACGUAUUGACGCUGAGGUGCGAAAGCGUGGGGAGCAAACAGG
RNAcentral lists this ribosomal RNA (253 nucleotides) under uncultured bacterium. RNAcentral's name for it is "partial 16S ribosomal RNA". It matches the Rfam family "Bacterial small subunit ribosomal RNA", at positions 524 to 776 of the family's 1533-position model. The record is from RNAcentral.